CCUACGGGUGGCAGCAGUGAGGAAUAUUGGUCAAUGGACGCGAGUCUGAACCAGCCAAGUAGCGUUAAGGAUGACUGCCCUAUGGGUUGUAAACUUCUUUUAUAUGGGAAUAAACUGUUCCACGUGUGGGUUUUUGUAUGUACCACAUGAAUAAGGACCGGCUAACUCCGUGCCAGCAGCCGCGGUAAUACGGAGGGUCCGAGCGUUAUCCGGAUUUAUUGGGUUUAAAGGGAGCGCAGGUGGAGUGUUAAGUGAGUUGUGAAAGUUUGCGGCGCAACCGUAACAUUGCAGUUGGAACUGGCAGUCUUGAGUGCAGUAGAGGUGGGCGGAAUGCGUGGUGUAGCGGUGAAAUGCUUAGAUAUCACGAAGAACUCCGAUUGCGAAGGCAGUUCACUGUACUGCAACUGACACUGAGGCUCGAAAGUGCGGGUAUCAAACAGGAUUAGAUACCCGGGUAGUC
This 460-nucleotide ribosomal RNA is filed under the name uncultured bacterium. RNAcentral's name for it is "partial 16S ribosomal RNA". It matches the Rfam family "Bacterial small subunit ribosomal RNA", at positions 338 to 795 of the family's 1533-position model. The record is from RNAcentral.